CCAACCUUCCGUACACUCAGGGAUAGCCUUUCGAAAGAAAGAUUAAUACCUGAUGGUAUCUUAAGCACACAUGUAAUUAAGAUUAAAGAUUUAUCGGUGUACGAUGGGGAUGCGUUCCAUUAGGUAGUAGGCGGGGUAACGGCCCACCUAGCCUACGAUGGAUAGGGGUUCUGAGAGGAAGGUCC
This 185-nucleotide ribosomal RNA is filed under the name uncultured Bacteroidota bacterium. Its description in RNAcentral is "uncultured Bacteroidetes bacterium partial 16S ribosomal RNA". It matches the Rfam family "Bacterial small subunit ribosomal RNA", at positions 121 to 306 of the family's 1533-position model. The record is from RNAcentral. Lineage: Bacteria; Pseudomonadati; Bacteroidota.